AUUGAACGCUGGCGGCAGGCCUAACACAUGCAAGUCGAACGGUAGCACAGAGAGCUUGCUCUCGGGUGACGAGUGGCGGACGGGUGAGUAAUGUCUGGGAAACUGCCUGAUGGAGGGGGAUAACUACUGGAAACGGUAGCUAAUACCGCAUAACGUCGCAAGACCAAAGAGGGGGACCUUCGGGCCUCUUGCCAUCAGAUGUGCCCAGAUGGGAUUAGCUAGUAGGUGGGGUAACGGCUCACCUAGGCGACGAUCCCUAGCUGGUCUGAGAGGAUGACCAGACACACGGGAACUGGGACACGGGCCAGACUCCUACGGGAGGCAGCAGUGGGGAAUAUUGCACAAUGGGCGCAAGCCUGAUGCAGCCAUGCCGCGUGUAUGAAGAAGGCCUUCGGGUUGUAAAGUACUUUCAGCGGGGAGGAAGGUGUUGAGGUUAAUAACCUCAGCAAUUGACGUUACCCGCAGAAGAAGCACCGGCUAACUCCGUGCCAGCCGCCGCGGUAA
This 504-nucleotide ribosomal RNA is filed under the name uncultured bacterium. RNAcentral's name for it is "partial 16S ribosomal RNA". It matches the Rfam family "Bacterial small subunit ribosomal RNA", at positions 29 to 523 of the family's 1533-position model. The record is from RNAcentral.